This 253-nucleotide ribosomal RNA is filed under the name uncultured bacterium. RNAcentral describes it as "partial 16S ribosomal RNA". It matches the Rfam family "Bacterial small subunit ribosomal RNA", at positions 524 to 776 of the family's 1533-position model. The record is from RNAcentral.
UACAGAGGGUGCAAGCGUUGUUCGGAAUCAUUGGGCGUAAAGGGCGUGUAGGCGGUCUGCUAAGUCAUGUGUGAAAUCCCUCGGCUUAACCGAGGAACGACGCAUGAAACUGGCAAGCUAGAGUACCAAAGAGGGGGGUGGAAUUCCCGGUGUAGCGGUGGAAUGCGCAGAUAUCAGGAGGAACACCAAUAGCGAAGGCAGCUCGCUGGGACGUUACUGACACUGAGGCGCGAAAGCGUGGGGAGCGAACAGG